Molecule: long non-coding RNA, 2114 nt
Organism: Micropterus dolomieu (smallmouth bass)
Lineage: Eukaryota; Metazoa; Chordata; Actinopteri; Centrarchiformes; Centrarchidae
Exons: 3
Source: RefSeq, a predicted model, not a curated record
GCUGAGGCUGCUGUUUCUUUGCAAGAGUGUGGUACACGGCUGGGUCGUGGUCUGGGGAGCUGCCGGUGUAGAGCCACCGCUUCUUAGUAGAGUUACCAGAGGCCCAAGCAGUGAGGCUACAACCGACCAGCCUGUGACCAACAGCAGACCCGUUCCUGUUGUGUUUGGCUUCGCCCACACAGGAAGACAAAGUUGAGCACACCCAGCCACGACGAACUGCAGAAGAGGAUACUGCGGUUCCUUAAGUCCAAGCUCAUCUUGAUUCUUCAGAGAAGACCCAUUCUGCCCUGCUUUGCUCCACAGACUACAACAGUUGAAUCUUGGCAUUGGACCCCUACACCUGUCCAUCAACCAGGUGUUUUGUGUGGGCGUGGCGCUACGCUCACUGUCUCUCGCCACCUGAUCACCUGCACACUGGCCUGAUUACUUACCCAUCGGCAAUCCAUCAGCCCAGCAGUAUAUCAACCCUGGUUAUUCAUCCAUUCUUCACUAGAUUGUUGUUUCAGCGCCUUCUCAGCUCUAUGCCUUGUCUUCUGUGCCUCAGGAUCAUUGCCUGAGCUCUUGCCAGGCUGCUAGCCUCACAGCCUGCCACACUCAGCCUAGCACCUCAAGCUCUUGCCUCGCCUGCUUACCACUCAUCCCACACUCCCAGCUCAGCUCACCCACCUUCAUUCUCCCCUUAACUUUCACCAUCGCCAGCCGGAGUCCUCCCCCAUUCUCUCAAUCUGUUACAAUAAUAUCCUGUUUCUUCACCUUGCAUCCGAGUCUGUGUUCGGGUUACCUCAUUUAUUGUAACACAGUUAGUAUUGUUGGUACAAUAAUGACUUAAUGCUCUUGGCUAACAGGUUUUGCUGUGGCUGCUGUAGUGUAAACUUCCUCAAAUCCAGUUAAGAGCAGGGAUGCUAACUUUAGCCUUAACUCUGUUAGCAUCCAGAUCUGACUUUUAUACAGUGGCGACAUACUACAGUUGAUGAGCUAUUCAUUAACGAGGUAAUGCAAUAUAGCAUACGGUGACCAGGUUUCUGAAAUGAAAAUCAGGGACAUUUUUGGAUUGGUGGUCAGUAUGUCAUAAAAAAUAAAAUUAUAUAUAACAUUACAGUUUUAUAACCUGUCAAAUAUAAUCAAGUCAUUUCAGAGCAGAAUUAACAACUCAGUUAAUAAGUAGAGGAUGCAAUCACUGUCUGGUAGGCAGAAUAUGUCACAGGUCUGAGUGCAGACUGAGGCGAGGACCCAAAUGCAGACAAUGGCAAGGCGAGGAGGUUGCAGUUCAAAAACGUUUAUUAAUUCAAAAAACUAACUUAAACAGGCUUACAAGGAGCUCGAGGCAAAGUCCAAACAAAGGUAAUCCAGAACACAAGGCUAUCCAAAAACACAGGGAAUAAUCCAGAACAAGGAAAACGAAGGAACAGGCAGGUCACUCAACAUUAGACGCAAGGACGUGACAAAAACUGGAGAGACAAGCAGGCAUAAAUAUACAGAGACUAACAAGCAGGGCGGGAGCAACACAGGUGAGCGGGAUCAGGGCUAACGAGGCGGAAACAGAACACUAGACAAGCAGACAUGGGGCAGAGUGAAUAACCAAGAAGACAGAAACACACACACAAGUUACAAAGAACCAGAACCUAAACAAGAACACAGAACUAGAACACAGAGUACAGAGGAGACCAAACCACAAUAAUGCAAACAAGGACCAGGAAUGAACACCAAAACAUGAACUAAGGAUAUGGACUGUAAGGGGACGGGUACUGUCAUGAUCCUGUCUGUGUGUCUUGUUUGGGAGUCUGGGUUUACCCAGUACCCGUCCCCUGACGUCCCAAAACCAAAACCCCCCAACAAAACCAAAAAAAGUCCAAGACCCAACCAGGGUGGGAGGAGAGGAGGGCCAAAAACCAAAACAAGAAUCUCAGGGGCCCAAAUUCAGGUGAGGCAAACGGUUCAGGAGGCUUGGGACCUCAGGAGGCAGAGCUGGGCUGAGGACCACAGACUGAGCUGCUGGGCUAAGGUUGGUCGGACCACCGACGAGGGACCAGGAGUCGAUCGGACCACCGGCGGAGCUGUUGCCGGUCAGUCCACCGACGGAGCACGAGGAACAGGAAUCGGCUGGGCCACCAACG